Molecule: small nucleolar RNA, 144 nt
Organism: Acomys russatus (golden spiny mouse)
Lineage: Eukaryota; Metazoa; Chordata; Mammalia; Rodentia; Muridae
Product: small nucleolar RNA SNORA48
Exons: 1
Source: RefSeq, a predicted model, not a curated record
UGUUCUUGGCAAUGGGUAAAGAGACACCUUGCUGAUGGUGUUGUUCUUGUUUUAGUCAGGGGCAGAGUAGUUAACAGUUCUUUGUUCAUCUCAGCUUCAUACCCAGCUUGGUAGCUAAACAUGUUUUAUGCUUAGGACACAUAA